AUACGGAGGAUCCGAGCGUUAUCCGGAUUUAUUGGGUUUAAAGGGUGCGCAGGCGGGAGAUUAAGUCGGCGGUGAAAUUUUGCAGCUCAACUGUAAAAGUGCCUUCGAAACUGGUUUCCUUGAGUGUAGAUGAAGUAGGCGGAAUUUGGGGUGUAGCGGUGAAAUGCAUAGAUAUCACGAGGAACUCCGAUUGCGCAGGCAGCUUACUAAACUACUACUGACGCUCAGGCACGAAGGCGUGGGGAUCAAACAGGAUUAGAUACCCUGGUAGUCCACGCAGUAAACGAUGAUUACUAGCUGUUUGCGAUACAAUGUAAGCGGCUGAGCGAAAGCGUUAAGUAAUCCACCUGGGGAGUACGUUCGCAAGAAUGAAACUCAAAUGAAUUGACGGGG
RNAcentral lists this ribosomal RNA (393 nucleotides) under uncultured bacterium. RNAcentral describes it as "partial 16S ribosomal RNA". It matches the Rfam family "Bacterial small subunit ribosomal RNA", at positions 523 to 918 of the family's 1533-position model. The record is from RNAcentral.